Molecule: ribosomal RNA, 478 nt
Filed under: uncultured bacterium
Lineage: Bacteria
Description: partial 16S ribosomal RNA
Rfam family: Bacterial small subunit ribosomal RNA
Source: RNAcentral
GACGAACGCUGGCGGCGUGCUUAACACAUGCAAGUCGAACGGUAAGGCCCUUCGGGGUACACGAGUGGCGAACGGGUGAGUAACACGUGGGUGAUCUGCCCUGCACUUCGGGAUAAGCCUGGGAAACUGGGUCUAAUACCGGAUAGGACUCCUGGCUUCAUGGUUGGGGGUGGAAAGCUUUUGCGGUGUGGGAUGGGCCCGCGGCCUAUCAGCUUGUUGGUGGGGUAAUGGCCUACCAAGGCGACGACGGGUAGCCGGCCUGAGAGGGUGAACGGUCACACUCGGACUGGGUUACGGCCCGGACUGCUACGGGAGGCAGCAGUGGGGAAUAUUGCACAAUGGGCGCAAGCCUGAUGCAGCGGCGCCGCGUGAGGGAUGACGGCCUUCGGGUUGUAAACCUCUUUCAGCUAUGACGAAGCGCAAGUGACGGUAGUAGCAGAAGAAGGACCGGCCAACUACGUGCCAGCCGCCGCCGUAA